AAGACAGGAACUCAGCUCUGAGCCUCUUGACUGCUGGUAACCUAAAUCGGCUUUGUACACUAGCUCCUCUCCGUCGCUCGCCUCUCGUCUCCAAUUCUCCGUCUCCGACUCUCCUUCAAGCUCUCUUUCCCGGUGAGCUUAUGCCUCUUCUCCGCCGCUCUCGUCUUCGGCUCUCCACUACGGCUCAUCUCCGUCGCUCUCGUCUCCGACUCUCCUUCAAGCUCUCUUUCCCGGUGAGAUUUUGCCUCUUCUCCGUCGCUCUCGUCUCCGACUCUCCACUCCAGAGGCUCCUCUCCAUCGCUCUUGUCUCCGACUCUCCUUCAAGCUCUCUUUCCCGGUGAGAUUCUGCCUCCUCUCCGUCCUGUCGUCUCCGACUCUCCUUUGAAACAUCUUUCAAUGCACAGGUCUCUCGCUCUCUUGCUGUUUGUGAAGGUGCUCUUCUUGUAGUAGAUGCAUCUCAGGGACUGGAAGCACAAACUCUGGCAAAUGUUUAUUUAGCCUCGGAAAACAACUUGGAAAUAAUUCCUAAUUAGCUGAAAAGAUACCAUUGGCCCAGGUUUUAAACAAGAUAGAUCUCCUGGGGGGGCUGAACCUGAUCGUGUGAUCAAGGAGAUUGAAGAGGUACCUGAAAACAUCUGAUUUGAGUUUGUAUAAGCUGAUUGAAGGAGUGUGGUCGUGAUCCCAUUUACUUGUGAUGUUAGAUAGGAUCUACUUGUGAUUUCGGUUUUAUUUAGCGAAACAAAAAAAUUUAGAGGUUGCAACAGGAUAACCGGAACCUAUGGUAUAAUACAAGUUCCGGAUAAGUUCUGGUUCUAAGAUUCAACAUAGUAGGGUCCGGUUCCAAAAUUUUGGACCCGAUCCCUUACAAGGUAGGGUCCGAGUAUCAUAAAAAAUUGGGUAUUCGAUCACUCCUGAUGUUAAUCUAUGUCGGAGAAAUUUACUAUUUUUGGAAGUUAAUGUAUUAUAUUUGGUA
Non-coding RNA from Punica granatum (pomegranate), 973 nucleotides. The record is from RefSeq and is a predicted model, not a curated record. NCBI's taxonomy places the organism in Eukaryota, Viridiplantae, Streptophyta, Magnoliopsida, Myrtales, Lythraceae.